Molecule: ribosomal RNA, 247 nt
Filed under: uncultured Zoogloea sp.
Lineage: Bacteria; Pseudomonadati; Pseudomonadota; Betaproteobacteria; Rhodocyclales; Zoogloeaceae
Description: partial 16S ribosomal RNA
Rfam family: Bacterial small subunit ribosomal RNA
Source: RNAcentral
GUAGGGUGCGAGCGUUAAUCGGAAUUACUGGGCGUAAAGCGUGCGCAGGCGGUGAUGUAAGACAGAUGUGAAAUCCCCGGGCUCAACCUGGGAACUGCGUUUGUGACUGCAUCACUCGAGUACGGCAGAGGGAGGUGGAAUUCCACGUGUAGCAGUGAAAUGCGUAGAGAUGUGGAGGAACACCGAUGGCGAAGGCAGCCUCCUGGGCCAGUACUGACGCUCAUGCACGAAAGCGUGGGGAGCAAAC